Molecule: transfer RNA, 72 nt
Filed under: Ovis aries (sheep)
Lineage: Eukaryota; Metazoa; Chordata; Mammalia; Artiodactyla; Bovidae
Rfam family: tRNA
About the family: Transfer RNA (tRNA) molecules are approximately 80 nucleotides in length.
Source: Rfam by way of RNAcentral
UCCCUGGUAGCUUGGAUGCUAAAGCGUCUGCCUACAAUGCAGGAGACCCGGGUUCGAUCCCUGGAUCGGGAA